GCGAACGAAGAUGGCUGUUCCAAGCACGCACACGACCCCCUCGAAGGCGAUUGGGGGAGCUGCUCCAUCACGCGUCUUCAACUGAGCCGCCUCUCGAUCCAAGGGUAUCUUUCGGAUCCUGAUCUGGCCUCCACUCGUCGGGGGUUAGUAUCCAUGGACGGGCAGACGCACGCCGAUAGCCACCCCGUCCCUCAUGGAGACGAACGGGUAUGCUUCGUCCCUUUCCUCCUCUGUGGGCUAGGAUUUCCAAUCCACCCCUUCCUUCGCGGGCUGCUCAAGUCUAUGGGAUCCAACUCCGCCAUCUGA
Molecule: ribosomal RNA, 306 nt
Filed under: Triticum aestivum (bread wheat)
Lineage: Eukaryota; Viridiplantae; Streptophyta; Magnoliopsida; Poales; Poaceae
Description: partial small subunit ribosomal RNA
Source: RNAcentral